GCCACAUGCAGGCUACCAGUUCCCUGGAAUGAUGAUGCCAGCCAGUGGAAAGACUGAACUGGAGAAAUAUUUUCAGGCGGGAGCAGCACAUUCAGCUGGAAACUUUGUGCCAGUAUCGACAUCCAGUGUUUAUCAAAUGGGACAGAAUUAUUCCGGCAAUGGUACAGUUCCUUCUAUGCCGAGUGGAGAUGCUGCUACCACACUUUCAUCAAGUUCUACACAAUCGACAAAAGAAGACGACUUUUCAUCUCUGACUCAAGGCAUGUUCUCGAA
Molecule: unclassified non-coding RNA, 273 nt
Filed under: Hevea brasiliensis (rubber tree)
Lineage: Eukaryota; Viridiplantae; Streptophyta; Magnoliopsida; Malpighiales; Euphorbiaceae
Source: RNAcentral